AGACAGCGUCUGGCUCUGUCGCCCAGGCCCCGGAGUGCAAUGGCAUGAUCUCAGCUCACUGCAACCUCCGCCUCCCGGGUUCGAGCGAUUCUCCUGCCUCAGCCUCCCAAAGUGCUGGGAUUACAGGCCUGAGCCACAGCGCCCGACCCGGAGAGCUGUUUCUUAAUCUGCCUGGAGGAAAAUCCCCAGCCCCCAACUUUCCACAUACUUCACAUAGAUAACACUGUAACAACUUUGAAACUAAGAGGGAGAGAAUUAAGUUUUCAAAUUUGAAAUUGAGAAGCCUUUGAAGAGUGGCAGCGUUCUAGAAAGUUCCAUGAU
RNAcentral lists this long non-coding RNA (321 nucleotides) under Homo sapiens (human). RNAcentral describes it as "HSALNT0295691". Lineage: Eukaryota; Metazoa; Chordata; Mammalia; Primates; Hominidae. The record is from RNAcentral.